GAUGAACGCUAGCGACAGGCUUGACACAUGCAAGUCGAGGGGCAGCGAGGGCGUAGCAAUACGCCUGUCGGCGACCGGCGCACUGGUGAGUAACACGUAUGCAACCUGCCCCCCGACUGGGGAAUAAUCGCGGGAAACCGCGUCUAAUGCCCCAUAGUUCCCCGGGUCCGCAUGGGCCCGGGGGGAAAGGUUUGUUCCGGUCGGGGAUGGGCAUGCGGCGCAUUAGGUAGUUGGCGGGGCGACGGCCCACCAAGCCGACGAUGCGUAGGGGUUCUGAGAGGAAGGUCCCCCACAUUGGUACUGAGACACGGUCCAAACUCCUACGGGAGGCAGCAGUGAGGAAUAUUGGUCAAUGGGCGGAAGCCUGAACCAGCCAAGUAGCGUGAGGGAUGACUGCCCUAUGGGUUGUAAACCUCUUUUAUAAGGGAAUAAAAUACGGGACGUGUCCUGUUUUGCAUGUACCUUAUGAAUAAGGACCGGCUAAUUCCGUG
This 491-nucleotide ribosomal RNA is filed under the name uncultured bacterium. RNAcentral's name for it is "bacterial SSU rRNA". It matches the Rfam family "Bacterial small subunit ribosomal RNA", at positions 28 to 507 of the family's 1533-position model. The record is from RNAcentral.